Pogoniulus pusillus (Red-fronted tinkerbird) is the source of this 2807-nucleotide long non-coding RNA. RefSeq lists it as uncharacterized. The transcript has 2 exons. Lineage: Eukaryota; Metazoa; Chordata; Aves; Piciformes; Lybiidae. The record is from RefSeq and is a predicted model, not a curated record.
UCCCGGGCCCGGCACACGCUCGGUACCCAGUAAAGAGCUGGCACCGUCGGGGCUGGCCGGGGACCCGCUGACCUGUUUGCUGGGCUCCAAGGAGCCGGUGGAGAGCCCGGGGCCAGCUGCCCCUGCCUGGGCUCCUUUGCGUGCCUGUGCGGUGCGGGAGGCUCCGCGGCUUGGCACCAGAAGGGCAGUGCUUUUCCAAAGGCUGUUGUUUCCAAGCCUGUGUUUCUUGGGAAAACAAGGUGGGAGCUGGGCAGAGGCAUGGGACACAGCCUGGCUUCUGCCUUCAGUGCCUGCUGCCAUGGGCACCUCCUCGGCUGCGUUUCCAUCAGCUCCAAGCCUUGAUCUCACUGAGCUUGUGCUCCUUCACAUCUGCCCCUUGCUUCUUUCCGUGUUCUUCUUUUAGUCGAAGAGGUUUCAGCUGCAGCAGGAGCACAGCAGAAACCCACAAAGGUGCUUCCCUAAAGCUAAGCCUUCUGCAGCCUUGGCCUUGCCCGGGCAUGCCAGCUUCCACUGUGGUGAGCCAGCCACCAGCCCGAGCUCAGUCCCUCGCUGCUGCAGAGCUGGACCUCGAGAGUCACUGCGAGAUGCCUCAGCAGCCACAGGGCUAAUGACCCAAAUAAGAGAGAACAUCCCAAUAAGAACAUCCAAACGCUGCUGGAAAAUAACUCCGUGUGCAGCUGAGCCCCGAUCUGUGCAAUCCGAGCUGUGCUCAGCAGGAUCUCCAGGGGGUUUUAGUUGGGCUCCGACCAAGGUGCAGCAGACAGGUGCCCUUUUCUAUGGAGAGCAGGGUUCAGGGCUCGUCCUCCCUGGCUCUCACUGCUAUCAAACACUUGCCUAACGAGGAUUGUUCGAUCAGCUAAUGUCUGUAGGGUGACGGCAGGAAUGCAGAUUUCCUCUGCUCGGCCAGGGCUUGCUGCAACUCUGCGGAGCAAUUAGAGGUGACUCACUGGGGCAGGUGGACUUGGCCAGGAUCCCAAGAGGGCUGGCACUGUCCCUGUGAUGCCAGGCACAAGGCUGGCUGAUGAUGCCAGGAGAGGGGGUCUUUAUCUGCACCUGAUGAUUUUGUUUUGCUCUAAGUGGAUGAAGCACGGAAGGUGUUUUUCCUUUGGAGGGGUUGCAAGGCAACAUCUCGUUAUGUGAAGGAUUCAAAGGGAAAAGUGCUGUUGUUAAUUGGCAAAAAUACUUAAACUUCCCACCUGGAGCUGGUUGAGUUUGCUGGUGAAGUUGUCUGCAGCUCAGCCAACCUCCUGCAUGGGUGCUCCUGGCUGUUGGUGAACCUCAGCACUGAAGAAUGCUUCUCCAGGGAGUGAAGGUCAGGACCUGGUUAACGCUCAGAAGGUGCUUCCUAGGUGUGGAUUUACUACCUCAGAAGGAGUAGUUAAAGCACCAGAACUUCUCAACCUUUCAGAAACAGGCAACAAGAAGACAAAGUGAGCAGAAAAGACUCAAACGGCAGCCUGGGACUGCAUAUGUCUGCCCCCCGCAAGGAACGUUGGAAGUGCUUGAAAGGAGGUAGGAGAAGCUGGCAUGAAAUGGCAUAUUUGGAGCCAGUUCAGAGGAGGGUAGACACUGUCUUGGACUCUAAACCAGCAAGCAGGUGCUGUGCAGUGACUACCUACCUGCCUUCCUGCCUCUGCUGUCUGUCCCCUCUGACCGCCUGCGUUUUCUGUGUCAGGUUUCGUGCAGUUUUAUUCCUGUCAAGUGUCCAACAUAGCUGCUGAAGAGCCAGCUGGAGCCCGCUCUCUCCCAUGUUUCAUCAACAAAAUUGCCAGCUUGUUCUGAUUCAGUAUCUUUAUUGUUGUUGAUGAGGCUAAAUGAUUCAGAAAGAACACAGCUAUGUAUACAAAAUACAAAUUCGGAAACCUCAUCCCCCUGCAAGGAAAUCUUAUUAGCUGUUGAAGUGGAGAGAUCUGCUGUGGAAGCAGAUUGACAGCAAAUAGAAGCCUCUUGAGAGGUAAUUUCUCCUGACCCCUACACAUUUGAUUGUUUUUAUCUGGCACUGAGUCUUCUAGCAGGAAAAGAGUUUUAGAUCAGAUUAAAACCAGGCUAAUUUACUCUGGGAUUGUGACUCUUUAAGGACUCUCAAUCCAAAAUCCUCUUAAUGAGCAAACAUGUCUCUAGGUAAAAAUCGAUGUUAAAAAACCCAAAACAAACCCCUUGGAGCUAUUGUCAAGACAGAAGUUUCAAUUAAUGCCAUCCUACUCCCCUCUUUUUUUCCCUCCCUUUCACAUAUUGUCAGUUUUUCACGGGGAAGAAAAGCUUAGUUCCUAAGAGGUUUCGUUGUGGGUUUUUUUUAACUAACUAAAUUCAAAUUUCCUUAAAUGCUUUUAUUAAAGGCACCACCUAUGGCUGCUGGCACUGCACGGCAGAAAAAGCUGUUGUAGUUUCACCGUGGCAUGUGGGAACUGCAGGCUGUCAGGCACCGGCUCCUAACACUCCCGGUGUCAGCUUGCAUCUCCUCACCAACUUCUGCUAACUUAGUUUCCAGGGUGCUAAAUUUUGUGCUUCCAAACGCAUUAGCUCGUUGUCAAAGGGCACUUUGUUACUUCUGGCACGCUUACACUCGGGAAGCGUUUGGGAGUGAUGGCUCUCGACGCCUGAAUCCAGGGAAAAAAGCUUACGGGGAAUGUUCUCCCGCGAGGAGGAGAAACGCCAGGCUGCGGCAGGGCAGGAGCCCGCACGGUGACACUAACGGCCGCGGGCACUGCCCGGGCACGUCUGAGCCUGCCCAGGCCAAGGCACAGUGGCUGAGUCACGGUGGGGUUCACAAGAGAAAACGAUCAAGCGCCGUGUCACCGCUUCUUGCU